This 330-nucleotide long non-coding RNA is filed under the name Bos taurus (domestic cattle). Its description in RNAcentral is "long non-coding RNA NONBTAT017777". The record is from RNAcentral. Lineage: Eukaryota; Metazoa; Chordata; Mammalia; Artiodactyla; Bovidae.
UAAGAUAAAAUACAUCAUGAGUUUAUGCCAAUAUUCUAUGUCUCACUUAAAUUCAGGGCCACAGAGUUUUCCCUUAUUUUCUUUGACCUAUGUCUUUUAAUUCUCAUGCUAAGAAUACCAGUUUUCAUUGCUAAAAAUGAUGGAAUACCAUAUAAUUAGUCAUUAGCAUAACCCACAAUAUCCACCCAAAAGUCUCAGAGUAUCAAUACCAAUGUUACUAUCAAUCAACAAUACAAUUACUGAAAAAUAAUUGAAGUUUUUUUGUGGUGAGGGGAUUCUUUAAAAUACAUCCCACUGUUGCAGGUUACUGAGGUUUCAAGUUAUAGAAAU